AUUAUGAUUUAUACCACAGCAUUACUACAAUACUAUCUUAAAGAUUCAAAAUUUGAUUUUAACUAAAUGCAUGUAGCUGUUCAUGUUUGUAAUACAUUAUUGCCGCCUAAAGAAACAGCUAUACAUGUAAUGUGUUGAAAAUUUUGCAUACGUCAAGGACGUGUUGUUAAUGACUCAUUUUAGUGCACAUUUAAGAACCCGCAAAUAUUGUUUUAUGUACAUAUUAUUUAUUUGAACUUUUUGAAAUGUUGUAUGUUUUUUGUUCAUGUAACACAAUGUGUAAUGUUUGGAUUUUAACCCACAGCGAGUGUUUUGCGUUUGAAAUAAAGAUUAUUAUAGAAAGUUUAAUCAUAUGUGUGUAUGUCUUUAAUCUUAAACUGUCCUCAAU
Molecule: long non-coding RNA, 388 nt
Filed under: Mytilus galloprovincialis (Mediterranean mussel)
Lineage: Eukaryota; Metazoa; Mollusca; Bivalvia; Mytilida; Mytilidae
Source: RNAcentral